This 1300-nucleotide long non-coding RNA is filed under the name Gopherus agassizii (Agassiz's desert tortoise). Its description in RNAcentral is "lncRNA (ENSGAGG00000002291.1)". Lineage: Eukaryota; Metazoa; Chordata; Testudines; Testudinidae. The record is from RNAcentral.
CCCGCCUGCAGCAGCAAGGGGGUGGUUCCUUGCCUGAAAAUGGCUCAUGCUGUUUGCUGAGCAGGAAGGACCAGGCCAAUUUCACCCCUGGAGGCUUUAGUGAAAAAAUUACCGCUAGGGCUCAGGUCCUGCAAUCAGCCCCUGUGCUAGUGGGGAGGGUCACUGAGGAGUCCCCCUGUGAGGCUGAGCCUGCAGGAGCAGGAGGAGCGCUCCCUGUGCCUGCAGCUGCUGACGAGGAGGCACAAACAACCCAAACAACUGUUCUAGCCGGCACAGAAGCCAGAACACACUGAAGGGCUGGAUCCAAAUGUCAAGAAUCUCUUUUGAUUUAGCAUCCUAAUUUGGGGUACUGACCUAAGUGCUUAGGGGGCUGGUUCUCCAAGAAGCUGGGCACCCACAACGCCCACUGACUCCAGUUCCUGCUGUGGAUACAGAUGGAACAUGUGCCCUGGAAUCCCCUAUUUUGAAGAAGUAUUUCAAGACAUACAGAAUUAGGCCAUUGUUUAAAAUUUAGACCUUACCGAUUUGCUCAUUGUGAUGGUAUUGAAAUGAACUUUGACUGUAUAGAUCAUUGUUGCAACCAAGGUCCUAGAGUUGCACCAAAUAUUAUACAAAGAAGGUCAAGUAAGAUGUCCAUGAAAAGGUUGUAAUUUGCUGGUUAUGGUUAUGCUGUCUGUAUGUGUGUAUCAUUUUUGUAUUUGAAGUUAUGAAUAGUGGCUAUCUGCUUGUUUCUCAAUGCGUUUAAUUUUAAGUAGCAUCAGUGAAGCAUUUGAUCAGCUUCUUGAGAAAGGACUAUUCUGAGUAAGUGCCAAAUCAAGAAACACUUAACUGACAGUGGACCUUGGGAGACUCCAAUCCACUUCUGAGGAGCCUUCCUGGGAACAUUCAAGACAGCAUGUGAGCAAUAGCUGCUCUACCAGCAAACUGAGUCAUGCAUGGACCUGUGACUCCAAACUCCAUUUUGCUGCUGUGAUUUUCCACAGUAAGAACAAAGGGAUUUCCGUCCACAUGGCAGAGGAUAUAAAAGGCCCUGGAAGCCCCUAUAUUUUGAUCUUCAGUCCUGCUUCUGACAUCUGGAGGAACUUUGCUAGAAACUGAAGCCCUGAAGACAGGACUGAACGACCCAUCCAAAGCUGUUUUGAUUGUACUCCAGAGACUUGAUUUGAGCUUGCAGUUUAUUCCACCACUGCUAUAAGCCUGAACCAAGAACUUUGCAAUUGUUGUAUGUAUUUGAUUCCAGUUAACCAAUUUUAACCCUCAUCUAUAUUUCUUUCUUUUUAUGAAUAAACCUUUAGAUUUU